GUGAAUCAUCGAAUCUUUGAACGCAAAUUGCACUCUCCGGUUUUCCUGGGGAGUAUGCCGGUUUGGGGGAUUGUUUAAAAAAUAAUGGAGGCUUUUGCGGUGGUGGCCGUCCGGAAUUGGGUCAUCUUUAACCUUUCGGUUGUAAGCGACCUAAAAUUUUUUUUACGAUUUCUACGAACGUGUAUAAGCAUUUUUUGUAAGGUUUCGGGUUUG
RNAcentral lists this unclassified non-coding RNA (213 nucleotides) under Glomus sp. RNAcentral describes it as "partial internal transcribed spacer 2". The stretch from base 1 to 72 matches the Rfam family "5.8S ribosomal RNA", at positions 84 to 154 of the family's 154-position model. The record is from RNAcentral. Lineage: Eukaryota; Fungi; Glomeromycota; Glomeromycetes; Glomerales; Glomeraceae.